This is a non-coding RNA of Triticum urartu, 954 nucleotides long. The record is from RefSeq and is a predicted model, not a curated record. Lineage: Eukaryota; Viridiplantae; Streptophyta; Magnoliopsida; Poales; Poaceae.
UGACUGAUUGUGUGUGUUUGUGUGUUGACUAUGACUGUGUGUCAUUUUAUGACUGAUUGUGUGUGUGUUUGUGUGUUGAUUGUGACUGUGUCAUUGUGCAAGCGCUCCAUAAUUACCUAUUGGCACAUCAUAAUGCAUGGAUAUUUCUGUAUAAUAAGGUCAUGGGCAUGUCAUUUUUUGACCUACAUACCUUGUAGUUGGUAGUACCAUUGCCCUUUGGACAUUCUUCAAUGCAUUGCUCUAUAUUUUCCUGCAUCAAGUAUGAUGAUUGUGCUUAGAAUGUGUAGAAUCCAAGGGUGGAUGGAGGUUUUCAUGAUGGCUAAUUUGUUUUGUUAUAUGGUUGUUCUGAUGGUGUGCUUCUGGUGUUUGAACUGAAGCCGUAGAUUUCCUAUCAACUUGGUCUGUGUUUGUAUGCUGAAUUAUUUCCGGGCAGGACAGAGAUGCAGUGUUUACAUCCAUGGCAGAAGGUUUUUUAACAGUGCAUCAAAGGUCCUUGGACUCAAGAGGAAGAUGACAAAAUUAUUGACCUUGUAAACAACUAUGGACCACCAGAAUGAUCUCAUUGCAAGGUCAGCUACCAGAACUUCUUGCUGCUGAUCCUGGGAUGUUUCCGAACAUGCUCCCAAACAUGUUCAAUUUAUCCGCCCUAGGACAGCCACUGCCAUGACACAGUAGGCUACUCGGCAUGCUCGGCGUGUUUACCUCGGUGGACUUCCUCCAAUCGCUAAUGAACAUACGGUUGCUCUAUUCUUCAAUCAAGUUAUGGCCGCUAUUGGGGAAGACACAUUUGAUCCAGGUGAUGCAGUUCUUAAUAUGAAGCUGAUUUUUGAAUUCAUACAAAACAUCUUAGGUGGCAUAAUCAUCUAACUCUGUGUGUGUGACUGACUGACUGUGUGUGUCUGUGGCUGUGUAUGUUUUGUGUGUGUGACUAACUGUGUGUGUUCUAUGUCUUGU